GGAUAAGAAGGCAAUGUGGUUGUGAUAUCUGUCACCCCAUUGAUUUCCAGGCUUGAGUCAGCAGAUCUGGCUGCCGAGGUGGGUGCUUGUUCCUCCUCUACUUGCGCAUCCCUCCCAAAGCUGAGCUCUGCCAGAGAAUUACAUUCCCAGAUAGAGGAAGACAGUCCCUCCAUCAAGGGUGUAGGAAGAGCUGUGCUUCCCUUCUAGAGUCUCUAAAAAAGUCUCAAUUUAAUUUGCUAUAGUAAUUGUUGGAAAUAUAUAAUAUACUGAUACUUUUUCUUUUGACAUUUAUGAAAUGUUUUCAUUAUUCAAU
RNAcentral lists this small nuclear RNA (313 nucleotides) under Octodon degus (degu). RNAcentral's name for it is "7SK RNA (ENSODEG00000024159.1)". It matches the Rfam family "7SK RNA". Rfam says of the family: 7SK was discovered as an abundant small nuclear RNA in the mid-70s but a possible function has only recently been suggested. Two independent studies have found that 7SK RNA binds the CDK9/cyclin T complex (known as elongation factor P-TEFb). P-TEFb activates transcription by phosphorylating the C-terminal domain of RNA polymerase II. The record is from Rfam by way of RNAcentral. Lineage: Eukaryota; Metazoa; Chordata; Mammalia; Rodentia; Octodontidae.